CCCUGCUUCCAGGAAAAGCCUCUAAGCAUCAGGUAACAUCAAAUCGUACCCCAAACCGACACAGGUGGUCAGGUAGAGAAUACCAAGGCGCUUGAGAGAACUCGGGUGAAGGAACUAGGCAAAAUGGUGCCGUAACUUCGGGAGAAGGCACGCUGACACGUAGGUGAAGUGAUUUACUCAUGGAGCUGAAGUCAGUCGAAGAUACCAGCUGGCUGCAACUGUUUAUUAAAAACACAGCACUGUGCAAACACGAAAGUGGACGUAUACGGUGUGACGCCUGCCCGGUGCCGGAAGGUUAAUUGAUGGGGUCAGCGCAAGCGAAGCUCCUGAUCGAAGCCCCGGUAAACGGCGGCCGUAACUAUAACGGUCCUAAGGUAGCGAAAUUCCUUGUCGGGUAAGUUCCGACCUGCACGAAUGGCGUAAUGAUGGCCAGGCUGUCUCCACCCGAGACUCAGUGAAAUUGAACUCGCUGUGAAGAUGCAGUGUACCCGCGGCAAGACGGAAAGACCCCGUGAACCUUUACUAUAGCUUGACACUGAACAUUGAGCCUUGAUGUGUAGGAUAGGUGGGAGGCUUUGAAGUGUGGACGCCAGUCUGCAUGGAGCCGACCUUGAAAUACCACCCUUUAAUGUUUGAUGUUCUAACGUGGACCCGUUACCCGGGUUGCGGACAGUGUCUGGUGGGUAGUUUGACUGGGGCGGUCUCCUCCUAAAGAGUAACGGAGGAGCACGAAGGUUGGCUAAUCCUGGUCGGACAUCAGGAGGUUAGUGCAAUGGCAUAAGCCAGCUUGACUGCGAGCGUGACGGCGCGAGCAGGUGCGAAAGCAGGUCAUAGUGAUCCGGUGGUUCUGAAUGGAAGGGCCAUCGCUCAACGGAUAAAAGGUACUCCGGGGAUAACAGGCUGAUACCGCCCAAGAGUUCAUAUCGACGGCGGUGUUUGGCACCUCGAUGUCGGCUCAUCACAUCCUGGGGCUGAAGUAGGUCCCAAGGGUAUGGCUGUUCGCCAUUUAAAGUGGUACGCGAGCUGGGUUUAGAACGUCGUGAGACAGUUCGGUCCCUAUCUGCCGUGGGCGCUGGAGAACUGAGGGGGGCUGCUCCUAGUACGAGAGGACCGGAGUGGACGCAUCACUGGUGUUCGGGUUGUCAUGCCAAUGGCACUGCCCGGUAGCUAAAUGCGGAAGAGAUAAGUGCUGAAAGCAUCUAAGCACGAAACUUGCCCCGAGAUGAGUUCUCCCUGAGACUUAGAGUCUCCUGAAGGAACGUUGAAGACGACGACGUUGAUAGGCCGGGUGUGUAAGCGCAGCGAUGCGUUGAGCUAACCGGUACUAAUGAACCGUGAGGCUUAACCUUACAACGCCGAAG
RNAcentral lists this ribosomal RNA (1361 nucleotides) under Salmonella enterica subsp. enterica serovar Heidelberg. Its description in RNAcentral is "bacterial LSU rRNA". It matches the Rfam family "Bacterial large subunit ribosomal RNA", at positions 1600 to 2925 of the family's 2925-position model. Lineage: Bacteria; Pseudomonadati; Pseudomonadota; Gammaproteobacteria; Enterobacterales; Enterobacteriaceae. The record is from RNAcentral.